Molecule: small nucleolar RNA, 82 nt
Filed under: Carlito syrichta (Philippine tarsier)
Lineage: Eukaryota; Metazoa; Chordata; Mammalia; Primates; Tarsiidae
Description: Small nucleolar RNA SNORD115 (ENSTSYG00000026383.1)
Rfam family: Small nucleolar RNA SNORD115
About the family: HBII-52 is a member of the C/D class of snoRNAs, which contain the C (UGAUGA) and D (CUGA) box motifs. HBII-52 is encoded in a tandemly repeated array with another C/D snoRNA, HBII-85, in the Prader-Willi syndrome (PWS) region of chromosome 15.
Source: Rfam by way of RNAcentral
GGGUCAAUGAUAAGGACUUCAUAUUGUCUUGAAGAGAAGUGAUGACUUAAAAAUCAUGUUCGGUGGGAUUAUGCUGAGGCCC